CGAAGGGAGCUAGCGUUACUCGGAAUUAUUGGGCGUAAAGCGUGCGUAGGCGGCUUUGUAAGUCAGAAGUGAAAGCCUGGGGCUCAACCUCAGAAUUGCUUUUGAUACUGCAAAGCUAGAGUAUCAUAGGGGAAAGCGGAAUUCUUAGUGUAGAGGUGAAAUUCGUAGAUAUUAAGAGGAACACCGGUGGCGAAGGCGGCUUUCUGGGUGAAUACUGACGCUGUUGCACGAAAGCGUGGGGAGCAAACAGGAUUAGAUACCCUGGUAGUCCACGCCCUAAACGAUGAGUGCUAGAUAUCAGAACUUGAUUUUGGUGUCGUAGUUAACACGUUAAGCACUCCGCCUGGGAAGUACGGUCGCAAGACUA
RNAcentral lists this ribosomal RNA (367 nucleotides) under uncultured organism. Its description in RNAcentral is "bacterial SSU rRNA". It matches the Rfam family "Bacterial small subunit ribosomal RNA", at positions 526 to 896 of the family's 1533-position model. The record is from RNAcentral.